UUUCUCUGUUCGCAAGGUCUUUGAUUCAGUGCCUCUUUGAGAUUGCUCGGAUUGUGGUUUAGGGUUCGAAUCCCAUUUGUCUGAUUCGUUCCCAAGUUUUUGACUUUGAAUCAAAUACAUCUUCUAACAUGUAUGCGUUAUGUAAUUCAAUUUCAUCGUGUAUAUAUGAUGUACCACUGCAUAUAUAGCUAGCGACAAUUCUUUCAUAACUUUCGCCGUGAAUUCACAUACGGUAGAGAAAAGAAGACAUUAAAAUGAACAAGAACAAUACAAACUGCAAUAUUAAUCAACACUAGGAUCCAAGAUAAAGGGGUUCCGUUAGCAGAAAGCAGAGACUAAGAAGAUAUUCACCAAAAGACCAAGUACAUGCACUGGGGAUAUGCAUUAAAUUUUAUCCGAUCAAUAUGUAUCUAGAGUUAAAAUGAGUCUGGUUGACGAAAGAACCAUAUUGAGGAGCAUCGUAACAAAACAGGAUGGUCUGUUCCGCCGCAAUAAGGUGAUUGGCGCUCGUUUAAUCUCGUAUGAGAUAAAGAACUUCUUCGUGCCAAAAUCAUACUACACUGGAACUAUCCGAUUUGACAACGAGACACAAAAAGAAGCCUGUUUUUUCAAAUUUGCACAGAAUGAAGGAGAAGUAGCUAAGCAUAUUUUUAAAGCAGCUUCCAAAUUGAAUCAAGAUGGAAUCCUACAGCCCUGGUUUCUCACCAAUAACAAAUUAGAGAAGACGUGGAUUUUAUGUU
RNAcentral lists this long non-coding RNA (740 nucleotides) under Rosa chinensis. RNAcentral describes it as "sRNA RchiOBHm_Chr1g0378781". Lineage: Eukaryota; Viridiplantae; Streptophyta; Magnoliopsida; Rosales; Rosaceae. The record is from RNAcentral.